RNAcentral lists this ribosomal RNA (318 nucleotides) under Comamonas sp. E54. Its description in RNAcentral is "bacterial SSU rRNA". It matches the Rfam family "Bacterial small subunit ribosomal RNA", at positions 97 to 436 of the family's 1533-position model. The record is from RNAcentral. Lineage: Bacteria; Pseudomonadati; Pseudomonadota; Betaproteobacteria; Burkholderiales; Comamonadaceae.
GGCGAACGGGUGAUAAUACAUCGAACGUGCCCAUCGUGGGGGAUAACUACUCGAAAGAUACUAAUACCGCAUACGAUCUGAGGAUGAAAGCGGGGGACCUUCGGGCCUCGCGCGAUUGGAGCGGCCGAUGGCAAUUAUGUUUUGGUGGGAUAAAAGCUUACCACCGACAUCUGUACUGGUCUGAGAGACACCACCCACCUGGGACUGAGACACGGCCCACACUCCUACGGGAGGCAGCGUGGGGAAUUUUGGACAAUGGGCGAAACCUGAUCCACAAUGCCGCGUGCAAGAUAACGCCUUCGGGUUGUAAACUGCUUU